GAUGAACGCUGGCGGCGUGCUUAACACAUGCAAGUCGAACGGAAAGGCCCUGCUUUUGUGGGGUGCUCGAGUGACGAACGGGUGAGUAACACGCGAGUAACCUGUCCUUGUCUUUGGGAUAUCUUCAGGAAACUGGGGCUCAUACCGGAUAGGAGCUACUGAUGCAUGGUGGGGGUUGGAAAGUUUCGGCGGUUGGGGAUGGACUCGCGGCUUAUCAGCUUGUUGGUGAGGUAGUGGCUUACCAAGGCUUUGACGGGUAGCCGGCCUGAGAGGGUGACCGGGCACAUUGGGACUGAGGUACGGCGCAGACUCCUACGGGAGGCAGCAGGGGAGAAUAUUGCGGAGUGGGCGGGAGCCUGAGACGGCGGCGCCGCGUGCGGGAUGACGGCCUUCGGGUUGUGAACCGCUGUCGCCUGUGACGUGGCGGGAGUGACGGUAAUGGAUAAAGAAGCACCGGCUAACUACGUG
This 468-nucleotide ribosomal RNA is filed under the name uncultured bacterium. RNAcentral describes it as "partial 16S ribosomal RNA". It matches the Rfam family "Bacterial small subunit ribosomal RNA", at positions 28 to 507 of the family's 1533-position model. The record is from RNAcentral.